Molecule: long non-coding RNA, 932 nt
Filed under: Salvia miltiorrhiza (redroot sage)
Lineage: Eukaryota; Viridiplantae; Streptophyta; Magnoliopsida; Lamiales; Lamiaceae
Description: long non-coding RNA (SMIL_LNC004889)
Source: RNAcentral
GCCAUGUAUUUGACAUGGUGGCAUCAGAUUUCCAAUUUAUCUUGACAUUAUUGGAUCAUAUUUGUUACUUAGAAUUGAGGAGGCGUAGAACGUAAUGUGGUCUUGCAUCUUCAUAAAGGACCAUGAAUAUCUCCAAGUGUUCCACUUUGUGGGCUAGAAUUUCACAAAUGUUGAACUUGUCGUGGAGAGAGAGAUGAGGAAUGGAACCCAACAGAUCGAAUACCUCCUUCCUCGCUUUUUCUAAGUCUUGGUCAUAUCCGAUCAACUAGCUAGAUUCUCCAAUCUAGCAUUCAUAUUGCGACUAAUCUCACCAAGCAGAGCGUAGCCAUAAGUGGAUUUGCAUUUCUUGCCUCUAGUUUCUUUCACUUGUGCAGGUUGCUUGCUUCCAUAAACACUAUUUUUCCCUUGUGUGGCUUCAAAUAUGUCAUCAAGGCUAACGUUAUAAUCAUCGGCCGAUGCAGAUUCUUCCAUGUCAUCUUGUUGCUCCAAUUUAUUCAACACAUCGAGAAUGUCCUCUGCAUUAUCACACGUUGCCCACUCCGUUUCCAAAAAUCUCUUUCCAAUCCACAAAGUAAGGUCAAGGCUUUUACCGCAUUGAACAAGCAUUACUAUCGCUCUGUCAUGUCAACAAAAAGCAAAAUUCAACAUAUAUCGCAAAUUUAAAUCAUGGAAGCUAUCACAAAAAUUAUAUUAUGCAAAUAAUGCACCUUUUCGUAAUACUUUCUUGCAGAGCAUAAACAUAUAAAUUAAUUUGAAAGAAAUUCUAAGGAUAAAAAUAAGUCAUGUUUUCUAUAGAAAUCACUAGUUAACAUUUUAAAACAUGUGAAGAUAAGUAAAAAUAAGCCAACCUCGUACGUGUAACUUCAAGUCCUUAUUCACUACAAGAAAGAAACAAUGGACUUCAUGACCAAACUAUAAUCAUCGAGGGAAAA